This 364-nucleotide ribosomal RNA is filed under the name Eisenoides carolinensis. RNAcentral's name for it is "partial 12S ribosomal RNA". It matches the Rfam family "Bacterial small subunit ribosomal RNA", at positions 875 to 1415 of the family's 1533-position model. Lineage: Eukaryota; Metazoa; Annelida; Clitellata; Crassiclitellata; Lumbricidae. The record is from RNAcentral.
UAGUCGAAAAAUACGAACUACAGUUUAAAACUUAAAGAAUUUGGCGGUAUCUUAUCGAACCAGGGGAAUCUGUCUCAUAACUCGAUAAUCCACGAACAAACUACCCUUUUUAGAACAAACAGCUUGUGUACUGCCGUCGUAAGCACACCUCUAAAAGUAAGUAUGCAGCUAUGAUUUAACUCAUUUACGUCAGGUCAAAGUGCAGCUAAUGGGAGGGAGAUGAUGGAUUACACCCUUAAUAAAGAUACAGAUUAAAACACUAAGAGUUUUAUGAAGGUGGACUUGGUUGUAAUUAUUAUCCAAUAUAAUAAUAAAAUCGAAUCUAAGAUAUGCACACAUCGCCCGUCACUCUCGCUUUAAAGCG